Molecule: unclassified non-coding RNA, 570 nt
Filed under: Pseudanabaenaceae cyanobacterium YJ-3
Lineage: Bacteria; Bacillati; Cyanobacteriota; Cyanophyceae; Pseudanabaenales; Pseudanabaenaceae
Description: partial 16S-23S ribosomal RNA intergenic spacer region
Rfam family: Bacterial small subunit ribosomal RNA (bases 1-103)
Source: RNAcentral
UCUACCCCCUUGUGGGAGGAGGAUGCCGAAGGCAGGGCUGAUGACUGGGGUGAAGUCGUAACAAGGUAGCCGUAGCGGAAGCUGUGGCUGGAUCACCUCCUUAACAGGGAGACCUACCCGCUCUGAGACUUGAACGCGUAAAGCAAAUCAGGCAAGAGUUGGUCAUCCCAAGGUCGGUCGAGAUUGGGAAGCGAGCUUUCAAACUAGUUUUGGUUCUUUUUUGAACCUAGUGGGCAUAAACCGGACUGCAAAAGCCGGAAUAUGCCCACUGAGGUUUUCCCACUGCUUGGCUAAAGUAGUAGAAGUGGGAAUGAGUUAGCCCGUUGAGCGAGUUAACGGAUACUAACUUAUAAGCAUUGAACGACACUCAAUAAAGAAACAACUUCAGCACCUCAUUUAGUGGAAUGUUUGGUAUACUAAAGAGCCUGCUGGAAUUGUAUUCCAGAUAGAACCUUGAAAAUUGCAUAGCAACUUGUCAGGUAGUUAGUCAAUCCUGAGUUUUGACUCGGUUUUGACUAAACACAGACACCAAUGUAAGAAAUUGUGGUCAAGCUACAAAGGGCUUACGGU